This 201-nucleotide unclassified non-coding RNA is filed under the name Hevea brasiliensis (rubber tree). Lineage: Eukaryota; Viridiplantae; Streptophyta; Magnoliopsida; Malpighiales; Euphorbiaceae. The record is from RNAcentral.
CUCGUCCACCGCCUGACAGGGUAAGAAUGUACUCAUCGACCGAAUUUCUCAAGCUGAUUGCUGAGAACGACUUUCGGCUCUUGUACGAGAAGAGUGCGCCUCACGAUGUUUGGAUCGUAACGCCGGAGGGAAAACGGGUCCAAAUGUUCGAGGCCAAUGGAAGGUAUCCGACGACCCUUAGAAUUCCGAAGACCAUGCUAG